Cyprinus carpio carpio is the source of this 1944-nucleotide long non-coding RNA. Lineage: Eukaryota; Metazoa; Chordata; Actinopteri; Cypriniformes; Cyprinidae. The record is from Ensembl.
AAAAAUAUUAUGAAGUAAAUGUGUUAAACAUUUUUAAUUAAUAUCUUAAGUUAAUACAUUAACUUUUACAAACAUAAAAUAAUGUUUACAAAAAAAUGUUCUCUCUGUCUCUCUCUCUUUUUAACGGACCCGUACUAGCAUACAAAUGAACUCUAAGUCUCCCCUCAUCUGAGUCCCAGUCUUGUUCUUGCAAAACCUCUGCAACAAUGGCACACUUUGGCCAUCUGGUGGCAGUGUUGAGCCUUUGCCUGCUGGCUGCAGUGGUGAAUUCUCAACAGAACACCCCCGAACCUCCUCGUUUAGGACAGGAGAUCUGCACACACUACACUCAGGGUGGGACCCUCCUUCUGGAUGGGCCGAAGGUCUUUGAAAUGAUGCUGAUCGAGUUUGGAAGGGCAAUCCAGACCCUGAACCCUAUGGUGACUCAACAGUGGAUGGAUGAAGUAGAUGAUGAUCAUGACAAACGCCUGAACAUGGCGGAGUGUGCCAAACUCAUCCAGAGAGUGUCUGAUUCCAUUCAGAGGCCUCCGCAAUAAAGAAGCCACAUCUACUGACUUAAGUAACUUGUGCUUGUGUACGGAAGUAGACAUGAAGAAAAAUAAGAUUUCUCAAGCACUUAUUUAGUAGGUCUGUAGCUUAAUAAACAACUGUAAGGCAUCACUCAAAAUUUAAAUGUAGCAAUGUAUUGUUUUAGAAAUUACUUUAAAACAUGGAAUUAAAGAAUUUUAGCCAAAAAUGAAAAAAAUAAAAAUGCCUCAAAAACACACCUGUGAUCUAUGAUGUCUCACUGCAGAAUACUUAAGUUACAUUUUGUACUUUUGUACAUUGGUUGUGGCUGCUGGCAAUGAAUGCAGGUGAAAUAAUAAUACAUAUUUUUAUUUACUACCACUCACAACACACCCGUCAAGGUUUAAAAGUUUUUAGAUAUUCAGCUAGCGUUAGCAUAGCUGCUCUUGGUGCACUUUAAGUAGCAACUGAUACCACAAUGUCAAUGGGUGUUGAAAGCUCAUGCCACACUACCAUCUAUUGACGAGGAUUAGCAAUUUUACUCAUAUUUGUGAGUUUUAUUAAAGCGGUUUACAAAAUAAUUUAUUCGCUUAGCUGUCUCAAAAAGAAAGGAACUUGGGCACAGGAUUUUCUCUUUCAUCAAAUCUUUCCACUUUGUGUAGCCUACACAGUAGUCACCUACAUAUCGAUGUGCUUUAGCAAUGAUUAUGUUUGUUUUUAUGUGUCAUUCUUUCUGUCAUUCUGCUUGUUUGGCCGCUCAGCUAGUGAUUCUCUCAUUGUCUCCGCUGGUAAAGCUCGAUAAUAAGUUUCAUUGUUAUUUUUUGCUCAUCUCAACAAACCAGCUACACUACUAUAGCGUAUCUACAAACGUGGACCACAGUGAGUGUGAGGAUUCUGGAAUUUCACUGUACCCUUAAUGUGUAAACUUUUAAAAUUAACAUCACCCUAUUGAACGCUCUUUUAAAGGCUCCAGUUCAGGCAAGGUUAUGAGGUUUGGCUGGUUAAAGUGAUCUAAUCAGCCUCUGGAGGUGGAUGUUGUAAUUACACAAUCUGAUUGCAAAAGGCAUCUUUAUCAUUUGACAGCCAUUUAAAUGCAUCUGUGUAGGCAGAAUAAAUUCUUCCGUAAGCAGCAUAUAAAUGAGAAAAAAUUUGUUAUAUUGUAGUAGAUAUGUUACUGGUGCCCAAUUCUUAUUGGAGAGUUUUUAAAAGAGUGAAAUGUAUUUAUUUUUUCAUGGUUUGCUGCUUGGACAUCACAGCUCAUAACAGUUCAGCUUAGCAGCUGCCAUUACUAUGAGUAGUCCAAGUGAUACAGUACAGAAAAAUAAAGUAGGUAAAACUUGAAAUAACAGCUUGAAUGUUUUGAGUCUGCAUAGUGUUGCUCAUAAAUGCAUGCCUAAAGCAACUGCACAUGAAACGGAGAAGAUGGUGAGAUGGUUG